CUGUAGUCUACAACCCGACUACACGAAGCUGGAAUCGCUAGUAAUCGCGAAUCAGAAUGUCGCGGUGAAUACGUUCCCGGGUCUUGUACACACCGCCCGUCACACCAUGGGAGUUGACAACGCCCGAAGUCAGUGACCCAACCGAAAGGAAGGAGCUGCCGAAGGCGGGGUUGAUAACUGGGGUGAAGUCGUAACAAGGUAGC
Molecule: ribosomal RNA, 203 nt
Filed under: uncultured bacterium
Lineage: Bacteria
Description: partial 16S ribosomal RNA
Rfam family: Bacterial small subunit ribosomal RNA
Source: RNAcentral